AUUACAUUGGGCCCACCCAGAUGAUCCAGGAUAGUCUCUCUAUCUUAAGGCUUGCUUUGACGGGAGGAUCAGGACCGGUGAUACUUGUUUCAGUGAAAGCAGGAGUGUGAAUACCAUCCCUGAAGUGCUCCCAAGAAAACCCAGACAUUCUUCAGAUCACACCCAAACUAAGCCCCUCUGCAAACUAAGAACAGUCGUGAGUAGCCAAUCUGCCCCCACUGGUAAAGAGCCUUAGGUUCAAGUCCCAGGCUUGCAACUUACCGUGUGACCUUCAGUGAUUCCUCUCGCGUCUCUAGACCACAGUUUCCUAGUGGGGCAGGAGGCAGCCUCGAUCAUCCCACAGAGUAUGGUGACCCUCCACCAACCAAGCUACCAGAUCUAGGUGAGACACAGGAUGGCGACCUAUUUGCGUUGGCUAAUAUCUUUAAGAAACUCCAGUGAUGGACAGCAAAUAAGAAUGAAAAGAAUGAAAGGUAAAGAGCGUUCAGCUGCUGACAGCCGGCGAUGGGCUUACCCCAUGAACAGUUCAUAAGCGUGACAGCUCCCAGCAGAGCUUCUUGUGCAAGCCUGGUA
Long non-coding RNA from Lagenorhynchus albirostris (white-beaked dolphin), 573 nucleotides. RefSeq lists it as uncharacterized. The record is from RefSeq and is a predicted model, not a curated record. The transcript is spliced from 6 exons. Lineage: Eukaryota; Metazoa; Chordata; Mammalia; Artiodactyla; Delphinidae.